CACACGACUCUCGGCAACGGAUAUCUCGGCUCUCGCAUCGAUGAAGCACGUAGCGAAAUGCGAUACCUGGUGUGAAUUGCAGAAUCCCGCGAACCAUCGAGUCUUUGAACGCAAGUUGCGCCCGAGGCCACUCGGUCGAGGGCACGCCUGCCUGGGCGUCACGC
RNAcentral lists this ribosomal RNA (164 nucleotides) under Bromus rubens (red brome). RNAcentral's name for it is "5.8S ribosomal RNA". It matches the Rfam family "5.8S ribosomal RNA". Rfam says of the family: 5.8S ribosomal RNA (5.8S rRNA) is a component of the large subunit of the eukaryotic ribosome. It is transcribed by RNA polymerase I as part of the 45S precursor that also contains 18S and 28S rRNA. Lineage: Eukaryota; Viridiplantae; Streptophyta; Magnoliopsida; Poales; Poaceae. The record is from RNAcentral.